UACGAAGGUGGCAAGCGUUGUUCGGAUUUACUGGGCGUAAAGAGUGCGUAGGCGGUUUGACAAGUCAGGAGUGAAAUCCCAGGGCUCAACCCUGGAAUUGCUUUUGAAACUGUCUUACUUGAAUUCGGUAGAGGUUGGCGGAAUUCUCAGUGUAGAGGUGAAAUUCGCAGAUAUUGAGAGGAACACCAGUGGCGUAAGCGGCCAACUGGACCGAUAUUGACGCUGAGGCACGAAAGCGUGGGUAGCAAACAGG
This 253-nucleotide ribosomal RNA is filed under the name uncultured bacterium. RNAcentral describes it as "partial 16S ribosomal RNA". It matches the Rfam family "Bacterial small subunit ribosomal RNA", at positions 524 to 776 of the family's 1533-position model. The record is from RNAcentral.